GGGAAGGUAGCUCAGUGGUAGAGCGCUUGCCUUGCAUGCAUGAGGUCCUGGGUUCGAUUCCUCGGCACCUCA
RNAcentral lists this transfer RNA (72 nucleotides) under Dipodomys ordii (Ord's kangaroo rat). It matches the Rfam family "tRNA". Rfam says of the family: Transfer RNA (tRNA) molecules are approximately 80 nucleotides in length. Their secondary structure includes four short double-helical elements and three loops (D, anti-codon, and T loops). Lineage: Eukaryota; Metazoa; Chordata; Mammalia; Rodentia; Heteromyidae. The record is from Rfam by way of RNAcentral.